UGGAAUGGGGAGAGAGGGGGAGAGACACCAUCUGAUCAUUGGAACACGAAGAGAGUUCCAGACAGCAAAAGUAUUCACUAGAGACCAUGGUGACCCGAGAGACCCGAGACACACAUCCAGGA
This is a non-coding RNA of Caenorhabditis elegans, 122 nucleotides long. The record is from Ensembl. NCBI's taxonomy places the organism in Eukaryota, Metazoa, Nematoda, Chromadorea, Rhabditida, Rhabditidae.